Molecule: ribosomal RNA, 253 nt
Filed under: uncultured bacterium
Lineage: Bacteria
Description: partial 16S ribosomal RNA
Rfam family: Bacterial small subunit ribosomal RNA
Source: RNAcentral
UACGUAGGCAGCAAGCGUUGUUCGGAAUUACUGGGCGUAAAGAGUGUGUAGGCGGUGCUCCAAGUCUGGUGUGAAAUCUCCCGGCUUAACUGGGAGGGUGCAUUAGAAACUGGAAUGCUAGAGGAUGGGAGAGGUAAGCGGAAUUCCUGGUGUAGCGGUGAAAUGCGCAGAUAUCGGGAAGAACACCCGUGGCGAAGGCGGCUCUCUGGGACGGUACUGACGCUGAGACGCGAAAGCGUGGGGAGCGAACAGG